GGCUGGUUAGCUCAGCUGGUUGGAGUGUGGUGCUGCUAACACCAAGGUCACAGGUUCGAUUCCCAUUCGAUCCC
This is a non-coding RNA of Apaloderma vittatum (bar-tailed trogon), 74 nucleotides long. The record is from Rfam. NCBI's taxonomy places the organism in Eukaryota, Metazoa, Chordata, Aves, Trogoniformes, Trogonidae.